AUGGCGGGAGGGAUCGCGGUGGCGCACGGGAGGCAGCUCAAGGUGGACUCGCAGGAGCACGAGGAGGACUCUCAGGAGCUCGAGGACGAUGAGAGGGAGCUCCUGCUCCACCGGAUCGUGGUUGAAAUUCCAGCGACGCCCGCAGGUAAUCGCCGCGGGAUGGGAUCACGGCGGCGCAGGUCUGGGCAGCGGUGGCGGAGUAAGUACUUGGCGACAGUGGUGGCGUUGAAGGUACGUGGCGACGGAGGCGGAACACUUCCUGGUGGGCGGCAAAUCGCGCAGCUUGGCGGCGCCGGCCCCUGGAGACGCACGGGCGACGGCGGAGGAAGAAGACGGGGUGGAGGGACUUGUUUGUGA
This 357-nucleotide ribosomal RNA is filed under the name Triticum aestivum (bread wheat). RNAcentral describes it as "partial small subunit ribosomal RNA". The record is from RNAcentral. Lineage: Eukaryota; Viridiplantae; Streptophyta; Magnoliopsida; Poales; Poaceae.